RNAcentral lists this ribosomal RNA (253 nucleotides) under uncultured bacterium. Its description in RNAcentral is "partial 16S ribosomal RNA". It matches the Rfam family "Bacterial small subunit ribosomal RNA", at positions 524 to 776 of the family's 1533-position model. The record is from RNAcentral.
UACGAAGGGGGCUAGCGUUGCUCGGAAUCACUGGGCGUAAAGGGUGCGCAGGCGGGUCUUUAAGUCCGGGGGGAAAUCCUGGAGCUCAACUCCAGAACUGCCUUUGAUACUGAGGAUCUUGAGUACGGGAGAGGUGAGUGGAACUGCGAGUGUAGAGGUGAAAUUCGUAGAUAUUCGCAAGAACACCAGUGGCGAAGGCGGCUCACUGGCCCGUAACUGACGCUGAGGCACGAAAGCGUGGGGAGCAAACAGG